Molecule: non-coding RNA, 732 nt
Organism: Punica granatum (pomegranate)
Lineage: Eukaryota; Viridiplantae; Streptophyta; Magnoliopsida; Myrtales; Lythraceae
Source: RefSeq, a predicted model, not a curated record
AGCCCCACACAUCAUCCCAACGUAUUCAUCUUCUUCUUCUCUUCUAUUUUCUAUACCAUUGACUUCGAGAAUCCUGAUUUCUCUUCUUCAAAAUGGUGUCAGUGAAUAUUGGUGUGGGAUACGAGGGAAGAGGAAGGCCGGCUUCUGCGCCCCGACUCCAUCUUCUUCCUCCACGACUUCCCCGACUUCCGCUCACUUCUAUGGAGACAAACGAGACGGAAGAUAGUGAGGAUGAACUUCCUAUGGUGACGAUGGGACUGCGUCGCUUCUCCUAAUCAGAGAUCUCACUCGAGCUGAGGGGUGACUGCUAUGUCAUGACUAGCCUCAUGGCCAGUACUAGGAGGGCACCAUGUGAGCUCCCAGCACAUUUGAAUCCUACCGAAGGAUCAUCGGAGCUGCUUGAUGUCCCAGUACCUUGCGAGUGAUUACGCUCGGCCAGAAGGUACAAGAUUUGGGAGAUACAUUUUCAGAUUUCAGAAUUAAUAGAAUUUUCUUGGAUUAAAUAGGUAGUUUAUAUGCGAGAAUUGGCUUUGCUCGAAGGUCAAGGGAUCUCUCUUGAGGUUUUCACAUGUUUCAUUCCUCGCUGAAUGUUUGUUGGGACAUUCACAUCGCGUUUUUGUGUAAUUCUAAUUCUAGUUUAAAGCUUAGGCUUCGGCCCUAUUUCUCGCCCCCACCCAAAAAAAUGAGGCAGUAUGUAUUUGAGCAUAUAUAUAUAUAUAUAUUAGAAUGUAA